CUACGGGUCGCACCAGUGAGGAAUUUUGCGCAAUGGGGGAAACCCUGACGCAGCAACGCCGCGUGAGUGAUGAAGGCUUUCGGGUCGUAAAACUCUGUCAAGUGGGAAGAAACUGAAAGGUGCAAAUAACAUCUUUUUUUGACGGUACCACUGAAGGAAGCACCGGCUAACUCCGUGCCAGCAGCCGCGGUAAUACGGGGGGUGCAAGCGUUAUUCGGAAUCAUUGGGCGGAAAGGGCGCGUAGGCGGCCUCUUAAGUCAGAUGUGAAAGCCCGGGGCUUAACCCCGGAAGUGCAUUUGAACUAAGGGGCUUGAGUAUGGGAGAGGGAAGUGGAAUUCCUGGUGUAGAGGUGAAAUUCGUAGAUAUCAGGAGGAACACCGGUGGCGAAGGCGACUUCCUGGACCAAUACUGACGCUGAGGCGCGAAGGCGUGGGGAGCAAACAGGAUUAGAUACCCUCGUAGUC
RNAcentral lists this ribosomal RNA (464 nucleotides) under uncultured bacterium. Its description in RNAcentral is "partial 16S ribosomal RNA". It matches the Rfam family "Bacterial small subunit ribosomal RNA", at positions 339 to 795 of the family's 1533-position model. The record is from RNAcentral.